UUCUGCUUCCUCUUUUCGUCUCGCCACGGCUCCUUCGUUCCUUCUCCCCCGCUCGUUGCUAUAGGGUUUCCUCUGCAUCCACCGUGGUGACCCUGCCGCCGGCUUGCCGCCGGAGCCGACCUCGUCCUAUAGCAGGGGAUUUCGAUUCCGUCUCUGAUGCGAGUGUCAAUUGCUGGCGUUGUUGUUGAUCCCACCUCCCACAUGGAAUUUGCACCGAACAUGACUUCAACGGUAGUACUUCAAAGUGACUCUCGCUACGGCCAAAGCCAAUCAGAUCUUGGAGAAUUUUUAUGGGCCAUCCGUGAGGAGACCUGCUUCUGCACCUGCAUCACUUCUCUGUCUCGGGUGCCUUUCCCUACUUUUUCUUGGAUGGAAAUGGGAAGCUUGUCUACUUCCUUUGUAGUACCUCUUAUAUUACUUUCUUUAUAUUGUUGCCUAUUGUCAUCUAUGAGGCUGUCAUGUCACUAUACCUCUAUGUUAUAGGUUGAGAUGGUCUGUAGUUGGUGAAAGGGUUUUGUUGCCAUCUGACAGCAAGUGCUACAGUGACUUAAGGACAAUUCAUACCUCUAAGAAGCAGAAGAGAAACUCUCUUACGUCCUCCUGUGAAUUUUGAGCUACUGAUGAUAAAAAUGUCAUUGCUGACAGUGUCUCCAGGCCAGUAAGAAAGAGCGAGAGGAGUUCACGUUUGGACAUCGCGACAGCUCAACCUUGCAAAAACUCCAUUACCACUAGAUAAACUCUCUGGGCAUAAUUAUAAAUUUGUUUAAGUUGAGUUGCAUCAAUAAGUCAUAGACCAAGUUUAAUCCGAUACUGAUGUUCCAUGAAUUCAAAGUUCCA
This is a long non-coding RNA of Musa acuminata subsp. malaccensis (wild Malaysian banana), 837 nucleotides long. RefSeq lists it as uncharacterized. NCBI's taxonomy places the organism in Eukaryota, Viridiplantae, Streptophyta, Magnoliopsida, Zingiberales, Musaceae. The record is from RefSeq and is a predicted model, not a curated record.